RNAcentral lists this ribosomal RNA (484 nucleotides) under uncultured bacterium. Its description in RNAcentral is "partial 16S ribosomal RNA". It matches the Rfam family "Bacterial small subunit ribosomal RNA", at positions 28 to 507 of the family's 1533-position model. The record is from RNAcentral.
AUUGAACGCUGGCGGCAUGCUUUACACAUGCAAGUCGAACGGCAGCGCGGGCUUCGGCCUGGCGGCGAGUGGCGAACGGGCGAGUAAUGCAUCGGAACGUGCCCAGUAGUGGGGGAUAGCCCGGCGAAAGCCGGCUUAAUACCGCAUACGACCUGAGGGUGAAAGCGGGGGACCGAAAGGCCUAGCGCUAUUGGAGCGGCCGAUGUCGGAUUAGCUAGUUGGUGGGGUAAAGGCUUACCAAGGCGACGAUCCGUAGCUGGUCUGAGAGGACGACCAGCCACACUGGGACUGAGACACGGCCCAGACUCCUACGGGAGGCAGCAGUGGGGAAUUUUGGACAAUGGGGGCAACCCUGAUCCAGCCAUGCCGCGUGCGGGAAGAAGGCCUUCGGGUUGUAAACCGCUUUUGUUCGGGAAGAAAUCCUCUGGGCUAAUACCCCGGGGGGAUGACGGUACCGGAAGAAUAAGCACCGGCUAACUACGUG